RNAcentral lists this ribosomal RNA (253 nucleotides) under uncultured bacterium. RNAcentral's name for it is "partial 16S ribosomal RNA". It matches the Rfam family "Bacterial small subunit ribosomal RNA", at positions 524 to 776 of the family's 1533-position model. The record is from RNAcentral.
UACGAAGGGGGCUAGCGUUGCUCGGAAUUACUGGGCGUAAAGCGCACGUAGGCGGAUUGCUAAGUCAGGGGUGAAAUCCUGGAGCUCAACUCCAGAACUGCCCUUGAUACUGGCGGUCUCGAGUCCGGGAGAGGUGAGUGGAACUGCGAGUGUAGAGGUGAAAUUCGUAGAUAUUCGCAAGAACACCAGUGGCGAAGGCGGCUCACUGGCCCGGUACUGACGCUGAGGUGCGAAAGCGUGGGGAGCAAACAGG